Molecule: long non-coding RNA, 791 nt
Organism: Penaeus indicus
Lineage: Eukaryota; Metazoa; Arthropoda; Malacostraca; Decapoda; Penaeidae
Exons: 4
Source: RefSeq, a predicted model, not a curated record
GAGCGACGGGAUAAGACGCUUUCAAGAUGAUGAUGCUUCGAAGGAUGCUGGUAGUUGCGUUUUCCGUGCUGGUCGUUGCGCUCUCUGUUGCAGCGCAGGUCGCAUCCAGUCGUGGUCCUAAUUCAUUACCUGGUUUUAGGAACAGAUUUGGAUUCAGGGGGAGACUUGGUCUUUUGAGGCCUCACUUUGACAACCGCUUCUGGCACGACUUUGAUAUCCACGGUUUCACCAGAUACGGAUAAAACCCAAUCCUGAGAAACAAGGCUUUUGAAUCCGGGCACCCAGACCUCAGAAAUUUCCUUUAAAAAAAGACCGUUUUCGCAGUCUAAGGAUUAAAUAUACCGAUGAUGGCAUUAUCUGACAUUACUAUAAUAAAACUAAAUCUUGUUAUAAAUUCGGUUCAGGAAUGAUUAUAUCACGAGAUUGAAUUUAUCGAGAGACCUGAGUGUGUGAGGUGAAUCAAUGUUUUUUUUUUGUUUAUUUGUAUAUUGAUCUGUUAAUAUUUCAGGGUUUAUUUUUUUUACUAUGAGAGUUCCCAAGCGUAUAUGUUUAUUAAAGGGAAUUUAGUAUUCUACAUUCUACCUAUAUCAGAUUUCAGUUUACACAACUUUGAUUUAGAAAAAGCAAUUGCAAAGUAGAUAUUGCUUUUACUUUAAAAAAAGCUGACAUCUGCAAUUAUCUUUUGCUCAUUAAUACUUACCUCUGUUUCUUUAUUUUCUCCUUGUUUAUAUUUCUUUUCAUUUUUUUAUAUAAAACUAUUGAUGAGAUAUAUUGCAGGAGAUCUUUUUAAG